GUGUCAGCAGCCGCGGUAAUACGGAGGAUGCAAGCGUUAUCCGGAUUCAUUGGGUUUAAAGGGUGCGCAGGCGGAAUGAUAAGUCAGUGGUGAAAUCCUACGGCUCAACCGUAGAACUGCCAUUGAUACUGUCGUUCUUGAGUACACUUGAAGUGGGCGGAAUGUGUCAUGUAGCGGUGAAAUGCUUAGAUAUGACAAGGAACACCGAUCGCGAAGGCAGCUCACUAAAGUGUUACUGACGCUCAGGCACGAAAGCGUGGGGAUCAAACAGGAUUAGAAACCCGCGUAGUCC
Molecule: ribosomal RNA, 292 nt
Filed under: uncultured bacterium
Lineage: Bacteria
Description: partial 16S ribosomal RNA
Rfam family: Bacterial small subunit ribosomal RNA
Source: RNAcentral